This 253-nucleotide ribosomal RNA is filed under the name uncultured bacterium. Its description in RNAcentral is "partial 16S ribosomal RNA". It matches the Rfam family "Bacterial small subunit ribosomal RNA", at positions 524 to 776 of the family's 1533-position model. The record is from RNAcentral.
GACGUAGGGCGCGAGCGUUGUCCGGAUUUAUUGGGCGUAAAGAGCUCGUAGGCGGUUUGUUGCGUCGGCUGUGAAAUCCCGAGGCUCAACCUCGGGUCUGCAGUCGAUACGAGCAAACUAGAGUGUUGCAGGGGAGACUGGAAUUCCUGGUGUAGCGGUGAAAUGCGCAGAUAUCAGGAGGAACACCGGUGGCGAAGGCGGGUCUCUGGGACGGUACUGACGCUGAGACGCGAAAGCGUGGGGAGCGAACAGG